GAAUGUGAGGGCCGUCUGGCUGAAGCAUCUGUCACCCCAUCAAUCGUGAGGGUUGAUUCAACUGAUCUGGCUUGGCUAGGCAGGAAUCCCUGUCCUCCCUCACCCCUUCAGUUGCAUUCCUCCCAAAGCUGUGCACUGGGUCAAAGAGGACUACCUUUCCCAGUAGAGGAGGACAGUUUUUUGGUCAAGGGUAUAGGAAUAGCUGUGCUCCCCUGCUAGGACCUCCAAACAAGCUCUCAAGGUCCAUUUGUAGGAGAACAUAGGAGUCAAGCUUCCAAGACUCCAUAUACAUCCAAAAGAGGUGCUGCAUGUGGCAGUCCGCCUCUCUUG
Molecule: unclassified non-coding RNA, 330 nt
Organism: Ursus maritimus (polar bear)
Lineage: Eukaryota; Metazoa; Chordata; Mammalia; Carnivora; Ursidae
Gene: 7SK
Rfam family: 7SK RNA
About the family: 7SK was discovered as an abundant small nuclear RNA in the mid-70s but a possible function has only recently been suggested. Two independent studies have found that 7SK RNA binds the CDK9/cyclin T complex (known as elongation factor P-TEFb).
Source: Ensembl